This 1695-nucleotide long non-coding RNA is filed under the name Theobroma cacao (cacao). RNAcentral's name for it is "long non-coding RNA (TCAC_LNC000465)". Lineage: Eukaryota; Viridiplantae; Streptophyta; Magnoliopsida; Malvales; Malvaceae. The record is from RNAcentral.
CCAUAGCAAGAACAAAGGAAGAAAAGAAGAACACAAACCCUAGGUGGGAAAAUUCAAGGGAAAAGUGUGAAAAUUCAAGUAAUCAGGCAAUCAAAGGUAAAAUUUCUGGAUUUUGACUUGUGAUCUACCUUUCCCAUGCGUUAUUUUGCAUUUUUCAUGGUUGAAUCACAAGAUGUCAUGAAGGAUUCAUGGCUGACCGAAUUUAGAGAGAGAAGAUUUGGUGGUUGUUUUGGUUAGAUUUUAAGAUAUUUUAGUGUUUUUAGUUAGUUAGUGAUGUGAAGCAUGAAAAUCAAACAAGAAAAAUUCAUUUUCUCCCAUAACCCAUCAUUGUUCGAAUUUUUCAAGAGAAAAUGUGAGGAUGAUUUUGCCACAUUUCAAGUUAUUUAAAUUGUGUUUAAUGAUUUGGAGUAUUGGGAGAAAAAUGGAGUUAAUUGGAGUUGAAUUGGACAUAUUGACCAAUUAAUCAAUGAUAGAUUGAAUUAGGCCAAUACCGAUUUAAUUAGGGACCCAUAUGAAUUUGUGUAGAAUAUCGUGUUUAGACGGUAAUCCGAACAAUUUGCAUCCCAUUUCAUACAUUAGUAUAAAGUCUGAAUUGGUUUUAUAACAAUUUAUCACAAUGUAGUAAAUGGCUUAUUGUGUAUUGUGUAUAGGCGGUGAGCCCUCUAACAAGGGUAAAGAUGUUGUGUCAGAGGACUGAGAAUAGGAGUAUUUCAAACUCUUGAUACAGUGAGUAACCUUAAUAUCGUCUUAAUUAUCUAAAAUAUGUUUUAUUUGAUUUUGUGAAUUUUAUGGAAAAUGAAUUAAAUGAUUAAUUUUUUGAUUUUAUAAACCAAAUGUGAUUUAAUGAUAUGAUUUCAUAAAAUUGUUUUGAAAUUGAAUAAUGGCUUUGAAAAUAGAGUAAUUGGAGACCAUUUGAUGUAUUGUGAAUUUAUGGGUCUAAUUGAUUGGCUUAUGACAAUAUUGACAUGAAUGGCUGAUUUGGUAUUUGUGUUGAAAUGUAUAAACUGUUGUUUGCCUUGAUAGGCUAGAUAAUGAAAAAAUUGCCAUGUCAUGCUGUUGAAUUUUUAUUGUAUGGUGGGUUUAGCUUGCUGCAGUGGCCUGGUUCUGAGGACAAGCCUAUUAGAGGGGCACGGAACCUGGUCAUAUUCAUACUUCAGUAUGAGAGGCGCGGAUGGAUAACUUCUGAGGUUAACACUUUAGAGUUUACUUCACGUCAAACCACCACGUGAGUGUGAACUCAGCCAACACCAAGGAACGAUUGUGUUUCCAAAAUAAAAACAUGAUUUAUGCGUACAUAACUAUUUACCAACCUUGGCGGACUCGGUUGGGAUAGCCCUCGAUCAAGGCAUCCUGGAUAACUGGGUAUAAAAAUGAUUUUGGCACGAGCCAAAGUUUUAAGAAAUUCAUAGACCAUGUUGAUUACUAGAUUUAUAUGAAUUGAUUUUAUUUGGUUGAAACAAGUUGAAAGGUGAUGAAUUAUAGUAUGUUAAAUUAUUUUAUCUGUCUCCAUUUACUCGGCUUUAGAUAUUUUAGAUGGUAUUUGUUUAUUCACUGGGAUUAUAUAAUCUCACCACUCUCCUUUCCACCCAUUUCAGAGGAUAGUCUAUAGAUAGCUGAUUUCAUUGAGGACCACCAUUGCAUUUGCAUCCUCCAAAUUGUAGGUUCACAAUGUUUCUUACUUUUGGUUAUUCGAGG